UCCCUGAUGGUUUAGUGGUCAAGACUCCACACUUCCUGUGUAGCAGGUAUGAGUUCGAUCCCUAGUCAGGGAA
RNAcentral lists this transfer RNA (73 nucleotides) under Bos taurus (domestic cattle). It matches the Rfam family "tRNA". From Rfam's summary of the family: Transfer RNA (tRNA) molecules are approximately 80 nucleotides in length. Their secondary structure includes four short double-helical elements and three loops (D, anti-codon, and T loops). The record is from Rfam by way of RNAcentral. Lineage: Eukaryota; Metazoa; Chordata; Mammalia; Artiodactyla; Bovidae.